RNAcentral lists this ribosomal RNA (537 nucleotides) under uncultured bacterium. Its description in RNAcentral is "bacterial SSU rRNA". It matches the Rfam family "Bacterial small subunit ribosomal RNA", at positions 777 to 1314 of the family's 1533-position model. The record is from RNAcentral.
AAUAGAUACCCAGGUAGUCCACGCCGUAAACGAUGGAUACUAGGUGUAGGGGGUAUCAACUCCCGUCUGUGCCGCAGUUAACACAAUAAGUAUCCCGCCUGGGGAGUACGGUCGCAAGAUUAAAACUCAAAGGAAUUGACGGGGGCCCGCACAAGCAGCGGAGCAUGUGGUUUAAUUCGAAGCAACGCGAAGAACCUUACCUGGACUUGACAUCCCUUGCAUAGCCUAGAGAUAGGUGAAGCCCUUCGGGGCAAGGAGACAGGUGGUGCAUGGUUGUCGUCAGCUCGUGUCGUGAGAUGUUAGGUUAAGUCCUGCAACGAGCGCAACCCUUGUUAUUAGUUGCUACCAUUAAGUUAAGCACUCUAAUGAGACUGCCUGGGUAACCAGGAGGAAGGUGGGGAUGACGUCAAAUCAUCAUGCCCCUUAUGUCCAGGGCUACACACGUGCUACAAUGGUAGGUACAAUAAGAGGCAAGACCGUGAGGUGGAGCAAAAACUUAUAAAGCCUAUCUCAGUUCGGAUUGUAGGCUGCAACUCG